UAGAGUUUGAUGCCUGGCUCAGAACUAACGCUGGCGGCGUGUCUUAGUCAUGCAAGUCGAACGAGAAAGCACCCUUCGGGGUGUGAGUACAGUGGCGGACGGGUGAGUAACACGUGGAGAACCUGCCCUUAAGUUGGGAAUAACUCGCCUAACGGCGAGCUAAUACCGAAUGUGGUCUGACCCUCGCAUGGGGGUUUGACUAAAGAUGGCCUCUUCUUGAAAGCUAUCGCUUAAGGAUGGCUCCGCGCUCGAUUAGCUAGUUGGCAGGGUAACGGCCUACCAAGGCUUCGAUCGAUAGCCGACCUGAGAGGGUGAUCGGCCACACUGGGAUUGAGAUAAGGCCCAGUCUCCUACGGGAGCCAGCAGUCUAGAAAUUUGGGCAAUGGGCGAAAGCCUGACCGAGCGACGCCGUGAGCGAAGAAGGCCCUAUGGGUUGUAAAGCUCUGUCAGAUUGGGAAGAAAGCUUUGCGGUUAAUACCCGUGAAGUUUGACGGUACCAUCAGAGGAAGCACCGGCUAACUCCGUGCCAGCAGCCGCGGUAAUACGGAGGGUGCAAGCGUUGUUCGGAUUCACUGGGUAUAAAGGGUGCGCAGGCGGCCUGAUAAGUCAGGGGUGAAAUAUGUCGGCUCAACCGGCAAACGGCCCCUGAAACUGUCAGGCUUGAGUUCGAGAGAGGUAGGUGGAAUUCCAGGUGUAGCGGUGAAAUGCGUAAAUAUCUGGAGGAACACCGGUGGCGAAGGCGGCCUACUGGCUCGAUACUGACGCUCAGGCACGAAAGCAUGGGGAGCGAACGGGAUUAGAUACCCCGGUAGUCCAUGCCGUAAACGAUGGGUACUAGGUGUUGGAGGAUUCUACCCCUUCAGUGCCGCAGCUAACGCAUUAAGUACCCCACCUGGGGAGUACGAUCGCAAGGUUGAAACUCAAAGGAAUUGACGGGGGCCCGCACAAGCGGUGGAGCAUGUGGUUUAAUUCGAUGCAACGCGAAGAACCUUACCUGGACUUGACAUGUGCCUGAAAGCCCUAGAGAUAGGGCCCCUCUUCGGAGCGGGUUCACAGGUGCUGCAUGGCUGUCGUCAGCUCGUGUCGUGAGAUGUUGGGUUAAGUCCCGCAACGAGCGCAACCCUUGUCCUUAGUUGCCAGCAGGUAAUGCUGGGCACUCUAGGGGUACUGCCGGUGAUAAAUCGGAGGAAGGCGGGGAUGAUGUCAAGUCCUCAUGGCCUUUAUGUCCAGGGCUACACACGUGCUACAAUGGCCGGUAUAAAGGGUUACAAUACCGCGAGGUGGAGUUAAUCUCUAAAAGCCGGUCUCAGUUCGGAUUGCAGUCUGCAACUCGACUGCAUGAAGGUGGAAUCGCUAGUAAUCGCGGAUCAGCAUGCCGCGGUGAAUAUGUUCCCAGGCCUUGUACACACCGCC
RNAcentral lists this ribosomal RNA (1413 nucleotides) under uncultured prokaryote. RNAcentral describes it as "partial 16S ribosomal RNA". It matches the Rfam family "Bacterial small subunit ribosomal RNA". The record is from RNAcentral.